This is a long non-coding RNA of Morus notabilis, 208 nucleotides long. RefSeq lists it as uncharacterized. Lineage: Eukaryota; Viridiplantae; Streptophyta; Magnoliopsida; Rosales; Moraceae. The transcript is spliced from 3 exons. The record is from RefSeq and is a predicted model, not a curated record.
CUUCUCCUGAGCACGAGUAUCCAAUCUGCACUUGUGUCCAAUCUUUAUUUCAUCUCCCAGCUGCUAUACAGGAAAUUCAGUGGAAACUUUCUAGUGAAUCUCUUGGGUAAAUGGAAAGAAUCUGAGUAUUCAGGUGGUCAGUAUAUUCCCGUGGGUGGUCUAGCAUAUUAUAUUACUGCACCAUCGAUCUUAGCUGAUAUGGCAACCA